GCUUGCUUCUUUGCUGACGAGUGGCGGACGGGUGAGUAAUGUCUGGGAAACUGCCUGAUGGAGGGGGAUAACUACUGGAAACGGUAGCUAAUACCGCAUAACGUCGCAAGACCAAAGAGGGGGACCUUCGGGCCUCUUGCCAUCGGAUGUGCCCAGAUGGGAUUAGCUUGUUGGUGGGGUAACGGCUCACCUAGGCGACGAUCCCUAGCUGGUCUGAGAGGAUGACCAGCCACACUGGAACUGAGACACGGUCCAGACUCCUACGGGAGGCAGCAGUGGGGAAUAUUGCACAAUGGGCGCAAGCCUGAUGCAGCCAUGCCGCGUGUAUGAAGAAGGCCUUCGGGUUGUAAAGUACUUUCAGCGGGGAGGAAGGGAGUAAAGUUAAUACCUUUGCUCAUUGACGUUACCCGCAGAAGAAGCACCGGCUAACUCCGUGCCAGCAGCCGCGGUAAUACGGAGGGUGCAAGCGUUAAUCGGAAUUACUGGGCGUAAAGCGCACGCAGGCGGUUUGUUAAGUCAGAUGUGAAAUCCCCGGGCUCAACCUGGGAACUGCAUCUGAUACUGGCAAGCUUGAGUCUCGUAGAGGGGGGUAGAAUUCCAGGUGUAGCGGUGAAAUGCGUAGAGAUCUGGAGGAAUACCGGUGGGCGAAGGCGGCCCCCUGGACGAAGACUGACGCUCAGGUGCGAAAGCGUGGAGAGCA
Molecule: ribosomal RNA, 700 nt
Filed under: Escherichia fergusonii
Lineage: Bacteria; Pseudomonadati; Pseudomonadota; Gammaproteobacteria; Enterobacterales; Enterobacteriaceae
Description: bacterial SSU rRNA
Rfam family: Bacterial small subunit ribosomal RNA
Source: RNAcentral